UGCUGAUACUCUGCAGGAGGAGGAGGUCUAAAGCCAAAGAACGUCCCGUGGAAACCGAGUAUGCUGUCACAGAGACCAACCGAGUGUACGAGGACAUCAGAGAGGACGGACAGAGACGGUCUCCUCCUGUAGAAAUCUCUUCAGGUUACUCUAGCGCCAAAUACUCCAAACCAAGCGCUGCUGAGACCAACGAUGACUACAGCGUUAUCACUGCAGCUAACCUUCAAAAUACAGCUGAAGAAGACUCCGGUAGACUCACCUACUCUGAGGUUCAUUUUACAAACCGG
This is a long non-coding RNA of Perca fluviatilis (European perch), 287 nucleotides long. RefSeq lists it as uncharacterized. NCBI's taxonomy places the organism in Eukaryota, Metazoa, Chordata, Actinopteri, Perciformes, Percidae. The record is from RefSeq and is a predicted model, not a curated record. The transcript is spliced from 4 exons.